UUGUAAUCUCGUUGUAACGAGAACUCAUGGUAAAGUGCAAGUGGAUGAUGAUAACGUGAUUCGGUAGGUGGAUCAGACUAUCGUCUGCUAUUUCCAAGAUGCUGGCAGCUACAGUUACCGUCAGGCAACUGAAAAAUCCAGAAACAGGAAUUGAUGUCUCUGUACCAACAUAUGAGGAAAUUCCAGGAUUACUAACUAAAUCAGUGGAAUACCAAGUUACUGUGGUAACAAAUCUGGCAAUAUUCAAAUCUCCAAAGCAUAAAGAAUCUGACAUUGUUCAGUUUGUGGUUGGAAAGAAAUUUAAUGAGUUUGAAGAUUUGCAUACAUCCCUGAAUGAUAAAUAUUCUGGUAUAGCUUUUCCACCAUUUCCUAAAAAGGUAUUAUUAACUACAGACGAUGUAUAUAAAGAAAGACGAUCUGCAUUAGAUAAGCUCAUGAAGUUCUGCAGCAAAACUGAACGCCUUUCUAAGAGUUAUCUAUUUUUACAGUUUCUUGGUGCACCACCAAGUAAACUACAGAAAAUGGAAAGUUUGGUUAUCAGAGAAGAUGCUGAAGAUGAUGGUGAAUGUGCUCCUACAGAAAAUAACAAAAAGUUUGUAAAAAGUCCAAUGGAUGAUGUUAACAUUUUUGGUGAAGAGGAAGAAGAACCCCAAGAAUUGUUUUCAGAUAUAGGAACAAAUCAGAAGAAAUCGGAUUCAAACCUUUUUGUUGGUGAUUCCAAAGCAAAAUCUUACAAAGUGAAAAUGUUUGAAGAAGAAAACUUGGAGGAAGAAUCUGUUAAAAGUAUACUGAGUCCCGUCACAGAAGAAAAAACAUUAUCUCCGGAAAACAAAUCCAAUUUAUUUUCAGAUGAUCUUCUUCAAGUGGAAGACGACCUUUCGCAACUGCUAGCAGUGAACAAAAAACCCAGGAAGCCAGUGCCAACCCCAAGAACACACAAACCUAAAAAAGCAGCAGAUGCAGCGCAGAUAGCUAAGCAGCCCAGCCCUGUUUUACCAACAUCUGUUGAUGAAUUUGCAAAAUAUAUUGAAGAAAACACGGAUAGAGAGGAGCAUUGUUUGGAAGUGAAGUGUGUAGAAUGUGGUCGUCUCGAAAAAGUUGGGUUUCAGCUGCACAAGACUUCCUCGAUUGUGUUGAGAAAGAUGAAAACUUUCUGAAAAUGAUAACAGGUGAUGAAUCAUGGAUCUAUGACCCCAAAACCACAACUAAUAUCAAAUCCCACAUGAAAGGAACAAGAUCUCAGUGUAUGCAACAACAAAAUGCUGCAGAUUACACAACUCUGUGCUUGAAAGAUCAGGUCUCCUGCGUACUGAAGCCUUGAUCAUUGAACAUCAUCUCCGAUGGUCAGGUCACGUUUGUCGGAUGAAAGAACACCGCCUUCCCAAGAUCUGUCUCUACGGUGAACUGUCUGAAGGAAAACGUCCUUGAGGCGGUACAAGGACCAACUCAAAUCAACCUUGAAAAACACCAACAUUGACCCCGCACACUGGGAGGAUAUCUCGGCAAACAGAUCCCUCUGGAGACACACCAUCAAAACGGGUUCAGCGGACUUCGAGAAAGCCCGAGUCGCAGGAGCUGAACUCAAGAGACGAGAGAGAAAGCAGCGCCUUCUCCUUCCCAAACCAACCCCUUCUAUCCCUUGUCCACAAUGUCCCCGUAUGUUUCAUGCAACCCUUGGAUUGCGGUUCAAACACCCAGGAAAAUUAACUGGAUUGCAAGCUCGGAAACACGAGACGCAGCCAACUACUACUACUACUACUACUACUAAUAGAUUACACAAUAUAGAAUGCAUAAUGAUAACUGUUCUGGAUCUCUCAUUGUUGAGGUUCACAUGGCGUUUUGUCCCUCUAGGAAUUAACACAAAAAAGAUGCGACAGUUGGAGGUAGAGUGGUUUGUACCAGCACUGCGCUGUUGCUCAUUUUCUGCCGGUAAGACAGGAGCAGCAUGAAAUGAAAUGGCUUGCUUAAGGACACAGUGCACUGCUUAGUCAAGGAAUUGAACCUGUGACUUUCUGAUCAUAAGCGCAACACAUUAACCACUAGGUAAUGUGCCGUCACAUAUACUAAAUUUAAUACAUCAUCAUCAUUUACUGUCCAUUUUUCCAGGCUAGCAUGGCUCAGACAGAAUUUGUCGAGGCAGGUUUUCUGUAGCUGGAUGCCCUUCCUGUUGCCAAUCCUCACCUGUUUCCAGCCCAGGUCAUAUUUCCCUAAGCUUUUCAAGGAAAACUGGAAAUGAACGAUCUUCGUAUGAUGAUGAUGAUGAUGAUGAUGAUGCUCAUUUCAAACAAUUACAAGAUGUCUAAACAAGAGUAUGCACAUAUGCAUACAUGUUUAUACACACAAAAUGUGAAUAUAUAUAACAAAAUUACAUAUAAAGAAAAUCACAUCUUUAAAUGUAGAAUUCACCUCACAAAGCCAACAAUUUCUGUUGUAUUAACAUAUUCAGAUACAGAAAAUAUCAUUGAAAUUAAUAACAUUUUUGAAAAUUCCUGUUGACACAAUAUUUUCAAGUUGAUCCAAAAUAUAUAUAUAUAUAUAUAUAUAUAUAUAAAAUAAAUGUUAGAGGUAAUACUUGACAAUUGUAUAUAUAUAUAUAGAUAGAUAUGUACGUACAUACAUAUGAUGGGCUUCUUCCAGUUUCUGUCUAUCAAACCUACUCACAAGGCUUUGGUCAGCUCAGGUUUAUAGUAGAAGACACUUACCAAGGUGCUGUGUAGUGGGAUUGAACCCAAGACCACAUGGUUGGGAAGUAAGCUUCUUAACUACACAACCGCACAUGGACUUUUGUAUGAAUUAUUAUUUUUUUUUUUUAUAAAAUAAAAUAUCAACAGAAA
Octopus bimaculoides (California two-spot octopus) is the source of this 2834-nucleotide unclassified non-coding RNA. The record is from RefSeq and is a predicted model, not a curated record. Lineage: Eukaryota; Metazoa; Mollusca; Cephalopoda; Octopoda; Octopodidae.